RNAcentral lists this transfer RNA (68 nucleotides) under Engaeus lyelli. Its description in RNAcentral is "tRNA-Leu". Lineage: Eukaryota; Metazoa; Arthropoda; Malacostraca; Decapoda; Parastacidae. The record is from RNAcentral.
CUACUUGAGCAAGAAUAGUGUGCAUUAGAUUUAGGAUCUGAAUAAAUAGAUAUUUCUAUAAGUAGAAA